Molecule: long non-coding RNA, 419 nt
Filed under: Mytilus galloprovincialis (Mediterranean mussel)
Lineage: Eukaryota; Metazoa; Mollusca; Bivalvia; Mytilida; Mytilidae
Source: RNAcentral
UGGAAAUUUUCGUUUUUAAUAGCAAAAAACUGGACAAGACUAUUGUUUUUAAUCCAGAUACGGUUCAGAAUUUUUGUUUAAGGCAAGAAUCAGAGUCAAUUUUUCUCUCUCAAAUAUCUAAGACUGUCUCCUCAAAUCAAAUGGUUCGUACCUGAGACUUGAAAUUCUUAUAGAGCUUAUACUAAAAUUGAGAAUGGAAAUGGGGAAUGUGUCAAAGAGACAACAACCCGACCACAAAAAAACAACAGCAGAAGGUCACGAACAGGUGUUCAAUGUAGCGAGAAAUUUCCGCACCUGGAGGCGUCCUUCAGCUGGUCCCUUUAACAAAUAUAGUUCAGUGAUAAUGAACGCCAUACUAAUUUCCAAAUUGUACACAAGAAACUAAAAAUAAAAUAAUACAAGACUUACAAAGUCUAGAG